CAAUCACACACACAAUCACACACACUCAUACUACAAUCACACACAAUCACACUCACACACACAAUCACACUGACACACUCAGACACACAUAAUCACACACACACACACACACACACACACAGCAGGGGCCCCUGCUCCUGGAACAGGUCACCUUCCCCCUCUAACUCUGGCUUCCCAGCCCUCACCGACGCCCACGUGUGGGAGUCCUAGGAGAAAGGGUGAAGGCUGAGCUAAUUGGGCUGCCGGCUUGAGGAAGAGUCGCCGAGACCGGGGCCGAAAAUUAAUUAAUUAAAUAAUAAUGAUAAUAAUAACAAUAAUCGUGGCAGUCCUAACAGCGCGCAUUCCAUGAAGUGGGUCGAGCUCCGCAGAAUGCUUUAUGUUUAUCGUCUCAUUUGAUGUUCCCCACGGCUUUUCAAGGGGCGAUGCUGUGAUUGUCCCCAUUUCACAGAUGAGGAAACUGAGACCGAGUGGAGGACUUGAAUCUGGGUCUAGCUUUUCCUAUCCCACCACCAUCCUGGGCGUGGUCCUGCCUGAUCCUGGCUCAC
Molecule: long non-coding RNA, 545 nt
Filed under: Sarcophilus harrisii (Tasmanian devil)
Lineage: Eukaryota; Metazoa; Chordata; Mammalia; Dasyuromorphia; Dasyuridae
Description: lncRNA (ENSSHAG00000021703.1)
Source: RNAcentral